UACGUAGGUGGCGAGCGUUGUCCGGAUUUACUGGGCGUAAAGAAUGCGUAGGCGGAUAUUUAAGUGGGAUGUGAAAUACCCGGGCUCAACUUGGGUGCUGCAUUCCAAACUGGAUAUCUAGAGUGCGGGAGAGGAGAGUGGAAUUCCUAGUGUAGCGGUGAAAUGCGUAGAGAUUAGGAAGAACACCAGUGGCGAAGGCGACUCUCUGGACCGUAACUGACGCUGAGGUGCGAAAGCGUGGGGAGCAAACAGG
This 253-nucleotide ribosomal RNA is filed under the name uncultured bacterium. RNAcentral's name for it is "partial 16S ribosomal RNA". It matches the Rfam family "Bacterial small subunit ribosomal RNA", at positions 524 to 776 of the family's 1533-position model. The record is from RNAcentral.